CCUCGAAAAGUUGAUUUCUUUAGGCAGGGUGGAUAACACAGAUCUGUUAAAACUUUCGCACUUCUGUGUUGAAGUGUUGCUUGUCACACUUUUGAUGGCGUACUCACUUAGGCGUAUUUCCAGAAUAGCGGAUAAUAGCUCACGGUCAUUUCUUGUCAAUUCUAGGUGAUGAAUACCAUGUGUGGGUAGAUAGGAAGAGUUUUACCACCAAUCAGUAACAUUUCCUACACCGGAACAAACUAAGGAUUCCUCUGGACAGAACUUACAGCUACCAGCAUAACACUCUAGCGUAGCUAUACGGAUUGUUGGUAAGACUUUUCUAUGAGCGAAGCACUGGUUUUGAGGAAUUUUGUGCCUGAUUUUGGCUGAGAUGUAAGCAAGAACUACUGUUGGUUUGUUCCGCAGCGUUCAAGUGAGGAGGUUUUCAUUUCUGGGUGGAAGGUUUCAUGAGGCACUAUGCACAAGAAUACACACCAGUUACUAUUUGGAAUAUUCUAUAGUGAUUACAGAAAUUAAAAGCUGCAGAAAAACUCCAAGGGCUAAUGUAUUAUUUUUUGUGCUAAAUUUACUUGGACUGCAUUGGUGUUUAAAGAAAUGGUCAUGAAGUUUCGGUACCGGAUUUGCUUUGUCUAGAAUUUAGCCUUA
Molecule: long non-coding RNA, 645 nt
Organism: Ruditapes philippinarum (Manila clam)
Lineage: Eukaryota; Metazoa; Mollusca; Bivalvia; Venerida; Veneridae
Exons: 3
Source: RefSeq, a predicted model, not a curated record